Molecule: ribosomal RNA, 253 nt
Filed under: uncultured bacterium
Lineage: Bacteria
Description: partial 16S ribosomal RNA
Rfam family: Bacterial small subunit ribosomal RNA
Source: RNAcentral
UACGGAGGGAGCUAGCGCUGUUCGGAAUUACUGGGCGUAAAGCGCACGUAGGCGGGUACUCAAGUCAGAGGGGCAAGCCCGGGGCUCAACUCCGGAACUGCCUUUGAAACUAGGUAACUAGAAUCUUGGAGAGGCGAGUGGAAUUCCGAGUGUAGAGGGGAGAUUCGUAGAUAUUCGGGAGAACACCAGUGGCGAAGGCGACUCGCUGGACAAGUAUUGACGCUGAGGUGCGCGAGCGUGGGGAGCAAACAGG